CCAGAGCUCUCUGAUGUCCCCAGAGCUCUCCGUUGUCCCCAGCCCUGAGGAGGCCACUCCAGAUUUGGGGUGAAAUCCUUUAAUUGGUCAACUUUGGGACCCCCUGGAGGCUCCUCGGGGACAUCCCAUGGACACCACGGUGGCUUUGGGGACAUCCCAUGGACACCACGGUGGCUCCUCAGGGACAUCCCAUGGACACCAUGGUGGCUUUGGGGACAUCCCAUGGGCACCAGGGUGGCUUUGGGGACAUCUCGUUGUCACCCUGGAGGCUCCUCAGGGACAUCCCAUGGACACCACGGUGGCUUUGGGGACAUCUCGUUGUCACCAUGGCGAACCCUUGGGGACAUCCCACGGACACCACGGUGGCUUUGGGGACAUCCCAUGGACACCACGGUGGCUUUUGGGGACAUCCCAUGGACACCACGGUGG
This 429-nucleotide long non-coding RNA is filed under the name Parus major (Great Tit). Its description in RNAcentral is "lncRNA (ENSPMJG00000004492.1)". Lineage: Eukaryota; Metazoa; Chordata; Aves; Passeriformes; Paridae. The record is from RNAcentral.